CCCAUCGAAGACCUGCGGGACAAGAUUCUUGGUGUCACCACUGAGAACUCCAGGAUUGUCUUGCAGACCGACAAC
Non-coding RNA from Pongo abelii (Sumatran orangutan), 75 nucleotides. The record is from Rfam. Lineage: Eukaryota; Metazoa; Chordata; Mammalia; Primates; Hominidae.